UGGGCUGUGGCUCAGCGGUAGAGUGCUCGCCUAGCACAUGUGAGGCCCUGGGUUUGAUCCUCAGCACCAA
RNAcentral lists this transfer RNA (70 nucleotides) under Marmota monax (woodchuck). RNAcentral describes it as "tRNA.Ala". The record is from RNAcentral. Lineage: Eukaryota; Metazoa; Chordata; Mammalia; Rodentia; Sciuridae.